GUCAAGUCAUCAUGCCCCUUAUGUCCAGGGCUACACACGUGCUACAUUGGCGCAUACAGAGGGCAGCAAUACCGCGAGGUGGAGCAAAUCCCAAAAAGUGCGCCUCGGUUCAGAUUGGAGGCUGAAACUCGCCUCCAUGAAGGUGGAGUUGCUAGUAAUCGCGGAUCAGCAAUGCCGCGGUGAAUACGUUCCCGGGCCUU
This 200-nucleotide ribosomal RNA is filed under the name uncultured organism. Its description in RNAcentral is "partial small subunit ribosomal RNA". It matches the Rfam family "Bacterial small subunit ribosomal RNA", at positions 1184 to 1382 of the family's 1533-position model. The record is from RNAcentral.